GUGAAUCAUCAAAUCUUUGAACGCAAAUUGCACUCUCUGGUAUUCCGGAGAGUAUUCCUGUUUGAGGGUAAUUAAAAAGAAUCUUUAACCAAUUUUUUUUUGUCAAAGGAAAUGAGCUCUCCCCUCUUAUAGCGGUAUCUUGAAAUAAAUGGUCAAGUCUCAUUUUAGUCUCGAUGCGUAAUACUAUUAUUUCUCUCAAUCUUCACUAUGUGACUAUCAAUUUUUUAUGCCUACAAAUUUAGUUUGUAUGCGAUCAAUACUAAUAUUUUUAA
RNAcentral lists this unclassified non-coding RNA (272 nucleotides) under Glomeromycetes sp. RNAcentral describes it as "partial contains 5.8S ribosomal RNA and internal transcribed spacer 2". The stretch from base 1 to 71 matches the Rfam family "5.8S ribosomal RNA", at positions 84 to 154 of the family's 154-position model. Lineage: Eukaryota; Fungi; Glomeromycota; Glomeromycetes. The record is from RNAcentral.